GGACCCUUAGCUCAGUGGUAGAGCUUUGUACUUAUGUGGUUAUCGUGUACCAGAGCAUACUAUGCAAAGGUCCCGAGUUCAACCCUCGGAGGGUCCA
Molecule: transfer RNA, 97 nt
Organism: Phlebiopsis gigantea 11061_1 CR5-6
Lineage: Eukaryota; Fungi; Basidiomycota; Agaricomycetes; Polyporales; Phanerochaetaceae
Rfam family: tRNA
About the family: Transfer RNA (tRNA) molecules are approximately 80 nucleotides in length. Their secondary structure includes four short double-helical elements and three loops (D, anti-codon, and T loops).
Source: Rfam